RNAcentral lists this ribosomal RNA (217 nucleotides) under uncultured fungus. Its description in RNAcentral is "partial small subunit ribosomal RNA". The stretch from base 91 to 217 matches the Rfam family "Eukaryotic small subunit ribosomal RNA", at positions 736 to 864 of the family's 1831-position model. The record is from RNAcentral. Lineage: Eukaryota; Fungi.
GCCCCUGCCGGUCGGUCCGCCUUCUUGGUGUGUACUUACUCGGCGGGGGCUUACCUCCUGGUGAACUGCGAUGUCCUUUACUGGGUGUCGUAGCAAACCAGGAAUUUUACUUUGAAAAAAUUAGAGUGUUCAAAGCAGGCCUACGCCCGAAUACAUUAGCAUGGAAUAAUAGAAUAGGACGCGCGUUCUUAUUUUGUUGGUUUCUGAGAUCGCCGUA